UAUAUGGCUCUUUUUAGAGCCAUAUAUAAUACAAUGCUAAAAAUU
This is a non-coding RNA of Sarcophilus harrisii (Tasmanian devil), 45 nucleotides long. Lineage: Eukaryota; Metazoa; Chordata; Mammalia; Dasyuromorphia; Dasyuridae. The record is from Rfam.